This 494-nucleotide ribosomal RNA is filed under the name uncultured bacterium. Its description in RNAcentral is "partial 16S ribosomal RNA". It matches the Rfam family "Bacterial small subunit ribosomal RNA", at positions 28 to 507 of the family's 1533-position model. The record is from RNAcentral.
GACGAACGCUGGCGGCGUGCUUAACACAUGCAAGUCGAACGGAAAGGCCUGCUUUCCCUUGUGGAUUGCGGGUACUCGCGUGGCGAACGGGUGAGUAACACGUGCGUGAUCUGCCCCCAACUUGGGUAUAAGCCUGGGAAACUGUGUCUAAUUCCCGAUAGGACUGCAGGGUGGUGCCUGUGGUGGCAAACGAUUUUCUAGUGGUUGGGGAUGAGCUCGCGGCCGAUCAGCUUGUGGGUGGGGUAAUGGCCUACCAAGGCGGCGACGGGUAGCCGGCCUGGGAGGGUGGACGGCCACAGUGGGACUGAGACACGGGCCCGGCUCCUACGCGAGGAAGCAGUGGGGAAUAAUGAGCGAUGGGCGGAAGCCUGAUGCAGCGACGCCGAGUGGGGGAUGACGGGCGUCGGGUUGUAAACUCCUUUCGGCCGCGAGGAAGCCACCUGGUUGGAAGGGUGGUGACGGUAGUGGUAGAAGAAGCACCGGCUAACUACGUG